This 506-nucleotide ribosomal RNA is filed under the name uncultured bacterium. RNAcentral's name for it is "partial 16S ribosomal RNA". It matches the Rfam family "Bacterial small subunit ribosomal RNA", at positions 28 to 508 of the family's 1533-position model. The record is from RNAcentral.
GACGAACGCUGGCGGCGUGCCUAAUACAUGCAAGUAGAACGCACAGUUUAUACCGUAGCUUGCUCCACCAUAAACUGUGAGUUGCGAACGGGUGAGUAACGCGUAGGUAACCUGCCUGGUAGCGGGGGAUAACUAUUGGAAACGAUAGCUAAUACCGCAUAAUAUUAAUUAUUGCAUGAUAAUUGAUUGAAAGAUGCAAUUGCAUCACUACCAGAUGGACCUGCGUUGUAUUAGCUAGUAGGUGAGGUAACGGCUCACCUAGGCGACGAUACAUAGCCGACCUGAGAGGGUGAUCGGCCACACUGGGACUGAGACACGGCCCAGACUCCUACGGGAGGCAGCAGUAGGGAAUCUUCGGCAAUGGACGAAAGUCUGACCGAGCAACGCCGCGUGAGUGAAGAAGGUUUUCGGAUCGUAAAGCUCUGUUGUAAGAGAAGAACGGGUGUGAGAGUGGAAAGUUCACACUGUGACGGUAUCUUACCAGAAAGGGACGGCUAACUACGUGC